RNAcentral lists this ribosomal RNA (429 nucleotides) under Actinomycetes bacterium. RNAcentral describes it as "Actinobacteria bacterium partial 16S ribosomal RNA". It matches the Rfam family "Bacterial small subunit ribosomal RNA", at positions 355 to 776 of the family's 1533-position model. Lineage: Bacteria; Bacillati; Actinomycetota; Actinomycetes. The record is from RNAcentral.
UAGGGAAUCUUCCGCAAUGGGCGAAAGCCUGACGGAGCAACGCCGCGUGAGUGAUGAAGGUCUCCGGAUCGUAAAACUCUGUUAUUAGGGAAGAACAAAUGUGUAAGUAACUAUGCACGUCUUGACGGUACCUAAUCAGAAAGCCACGGCUAACUACGUGCCAGCAGCCGCGGUAAUACGUAGGUGGCAAGCGUUAUCCGGAAUUAUUGGGCGUAAAGCGCGCGUAGGCGGUUUUUUAAGUCUGAUGUGAAAGCCCACGGCUCAACCGUGGAGGGUCAUUGGAAACUGGAAAACUUGAGUGCAGAAGAGGAAAGUGGAAUUCCAUGUGUAGCGGUGAAAUGCGCAGAGAUAUGGAGGAACACCAGUGGCGAAGGCGACUUUCUGGUCUGUAACUGACGCUGAUGUGCGAAAGCGUGGGGAUCAAACAGG